UGGGGAAUAUUGCACAAUGGGGGAAACCCUGAUGCAGCGACGCCGCGUGAGCGAAGAAGGUUUUCGAAUCGUAAAGCUCUGUCCUAUGAGAAGAUAAUGACGGUAUCAUAGGAGGAAGCCCCGGCUAAAUACGUGCCAGCAGCCGCGGUAAUACGUAUGGGGCGAGCGUUGUCCGGAAUUAUUGGGCGUAAAGGGUACGUAGGCGGUCUAUUAAGUCAGGUGUGAAAGCGUGAGGCUUAACCUCAUUAAGCACUUGAAACUGAUAGACUUGAGUGAAGGGGAGGAAAGUGGAAUUCCUAGUGUAGCGAUGAAAUGCGUAGAUAUUAGGGGGAAUACCGGUGGCGAAGGCGACUUUCUGGACUUUUACUGACGCUCAGGUACGAAGGCGUGGGGGGCAAACAGG
This 403-nucleotide ribosomal RNA is filed under the name Verrucomicrobiota bacterium. RNAcentral's name for it is "Verrucomicrobia bacterium partial 16S ribosomal RNA". It matches the Rfam family "Bacterial small subunit ribosomal RNA", at positions 355 to 776 of the family's 1533-position model. Lineage: Bacteria; Pseudomonadati; Verrucomicrobiota. The record is from RNAcentral.